This 1512-nucleotide ribosomal RNA is filed under the name uncultured Actinomycetes bacterium. RNAcentral describes it as "bacterial SSU rRNA". It matches the Rfam family "Bacterial small subunit ribosomal RNA". Lineage: Bacteria; Bacillati; Actinomycetota; Actinomycetes. The record is from RNAcentral.
AGAGUUUGAUCCUGGCUCAGGACGAACGCUGACGGUGUGCUUUAGGCAUGCAAGUCGAACGAGAAAGCCCUUCGGGGUGAGUAGAGUGGCGAACGGGUGAGUAACACGUGGGCAACCUGCCCCUCGCAGGGGGAUAACCGGAGGAAACUCCGGCUAAUACCCCGUAAGCUUUCAGGGUCGCAUGGCCCUGAAAGGAAAGGUAGCUUCGGCCAUCCGGCGAGGGAUGGGCCCGCGGUGCAUUAGCUAGUUGGUGGGGUAAAGGCCCACCAAGGCGACGAUGCGUAGCUGGUCUGAGAGGAUGAUCAGCCACACUGGGACUGAGACACGGCCCAGACUCCUACGGGAGGCAGCAGCCAGGAAUCUUGGGCAAUGGGCGAAAGCCUGACCCAGCAACACCGUGUGGGCGAUGAAGGCCUUCGGGUCGUAAAGCCCUGUUGAUAGGGACGAAGGGCGAAGGGUUAAUAGCCCCUAGCCUGACGGUACCUUUCGAGGAAGCCCCGGCUAACUACGUGCCAGCAGCCGCGGUAAUACGUAGGGGGCGAGCGUUGUCCGGAAUUAUUGGGCGUAAAGAGCGUGUAGGCGGUUCGGUAAGUCUGCCGUGAAAACCUGAGGCUCAACCUCGGGCGUGCGGUGGAUACUGCCGGGCUAGAGGACGGUAGAGGCGAGUGGAAUUCCCGGUGUAGCGGUGAAAUGCGCAGAUAUCGGGAGGAACACCAGUAGCGAAAGCGGCUCGCUGGGCCGUUCCUGACGCUGAGACGCGAAAGCUAGGGGAGCGAACAGGAUUAGAUACCCUGGUAGUCCACGCCGUAAACGAUGAGUGCUUGGUGUAGCGGGUAUCGACCCCUGCUGUGCCGAAGUCAACACAUUAAGCACUCCGCCUGGGGAGUACGGUCGCAAGACUGAAACUCAAAGGAAUUGACGGGGGCCCGCACAAGCGGUGGAGCAUGUGGUUUAAUUCGAAGCAACGCGCAGAACCUUACCUGGGUUUGAACUGCAGAGGAAAGGCUCAGAGAUGAGUCCCUCCCUUCGGGGACCGCUGUAGAGGUGCUGCAUGGCUGUCGUCAGCUCGUGUCGUGAGAUGUUGGGUUAAGUCCCGCAACGAGCGCAACCCUUGUUCACAGUUACUAACGCGUAGAGGCGAGAACUCUGUGGAGACUGCCGGUGAUAAACCGGAGGAAGGUGGGGAUGACGUCAAGUCCUCAUGGCCUUUAUGUCCAGGGCUACACACGUGCUACAAUGGGCAGUACAGAGAGUCGCGAGACCGCAAGGUGGAGCUAAUCUCGGAAAGCUGCUCUCAGUUCGGAUUGCAGUCUGCAACUCGACUGCAUGAAGUUGGAAUCGCUAGUAAUCGCGGAUCAGCACGCCGCGGUGAAUACGUUCCCGGGCCUUGUACACACCGCCCGUCACAUCACGAAAGUCGGUUGCACUAGAAGUCGGUGGGCUAACCCGCAAGGGGGGCAGCCGCCUAAAGUGUGAUCGGUAAUUGGGGUGAAGUCGUAACAAGGUAGCCGU